RNAcentral lists this ribosomal RNA (206 nucleotides) under uncultured bacterium. RNAcentral describes it as "partial 16S ribosomal RNA". It matches the Rfam family "Bacterial small subunit ribosomal RNA", at positions 568 to 774 of the family's 1533-position model. The record is from RNAcentral.
CAUGUAGGCGGCUUAAUAAGUCAAGCGUGAAAAUGCGGGGCUCAACCCCGUAUGGCGCUGGAAACUGUAAGGCUUGAGUGCAGGAGAGGAAAGGGGAAUUCCCAGUGUAGCGGUGAAAUGCGUAGAUAUUGGGAGGAACACCAGUGGCGAAGGCGCCUUUCUGGACUGUGUCUGACGCUGAGAUGCGAAAGCCAGGGUAGCGAACG